This 839-nucleotide ribosomal RNA is filed under the name uncultured eukaryote. Its description in RNAcentral is "SSU rRNA". It matches the Rfam family "Eukaryotic small subunit ribosomal RNA", at positions 635 to 1426 of the family's 1831-position model. The record is from RNAcentral.
CGGUGUUCAACUGGCGUGCCCGCGGGACGUCCUGCCGGUGAGCUCAGCCCGCGAGGGCGGCUCAACUUGAAAUCCCAUCGCGGUGCUCUUCAUUGAGUGUCGAGGUGGGCCGGCACGAUUACUUUUGAACAAAUUAGAGUGCUUAAAGCAGGCUAAAAUUUUGCCUGAAUACUGUGUAUAUGGAAUAAUGGAAUAGGACCUCGGUUCUAUUUUGUUGGUUUUCGGAACCCCGAGGUAAUGAUUAAUAGGAACGGAUGGGGGCAUUCGUAUUGCGACGUUAGAGGUGAAAUUCUUGGAUCGUCGCAAGACGGACUAAAGCGAAAGCAUUUGCCAAAAACGCUUUCAUUGAUCAAGAACGAAAGUUAGAGGUUCGAAGGCGAUCAGAUACCGCCCUAGUUCUAACCAUAAACUAUGCCAGCUAGCGAUCCGCCGACGUCCCUCUGAUGACUCGGCGGGCAGCUUCCGGGAAACCAAAGCUUUUGGGUUCCGGGGGAAGUAUGGUUGCAAAGCUGAAACUUAAAGGAAUUGACGGAAGGGCACCACCAGGAGUGGAGCCUGCGGCUUAAUUUGACUCAACACGGGAAACCUCACCAGGCCCAGACACUGGAAGGAUUGACAGAUUGAGAGCUCUUUCUUGAUUCAGUGGGUGGUGGUGCAUGGCCGUUCUUAGUCGGUGGAGCGAUUUGUCAGGUUAAUUCCGAUAACGGACGAGACUCUGACCUGAUAACUAGACGCACUUGCGGCAUCUCAAAGGUCCGCCGGCGGCUGGCUUUGCGCCCGUCGUCGCGCGCGAUUUUUACUGCCGGCGUACAAUAAAUUCUUCUUAGAGGGACAAGUGG